This 393-nucleotide ribosomal RNA is filed under the name uncultured bacterium. RNAcentral's name for it is "bacterial SSU rRNA". It matches the Rfam family "Bacterial small subunit ribosomal RNA", at positions 29 to 417 of the family's 1533-position model. The record is from RNAcentral.
AUUGAACGCUGGCGGCAGGCCUAACACAUGCAAGUCGAACGGUAGCACAGGAGAGCUUGCUCUCUGGGUGACGAGUGGCGGACGGGUGAGUAAUGCAUGGGGAGCUGCCCAAUCGAGGGGGAUACCAGCUGGAAACGGCUGCUAAUACCGCAUACGCCCUGAGGGGGAAAGGUGGGGACCUUCGGGCCUACCGCGAUUGGAUGCACCCAUGUGGGAUUAGCUAGUUGGUGAGGUAACGGCUCACCAAGGCGACGAUCUCUAGCUGGUCUGAGAGGAUGACCAGCCACACUGGAACUGAGACACGGUCCAGACUCCUACGGGAGGCAGCAGUGGGGAAUAUUGCACAAUGGGGGAAACCCUGAUGCAGCCAUGCCGCGUGUGUGAAGAAGGCCU